Molecule: transfer RNA, 88 nt
Filed under: Actinocatenispora thailandica
Lineage: Bacteria; Bacillati; Actinomycetota; Actinomycetes; Micromonosporales; Micromonosporaceae
Description: tRNA-Arg
Source: RNAcentral
GGUGGCGAGCGACCGGGCGCUGGUCGCGAUCGGCUUCGACUCGGUCGAUCCGGUGCCGGUGCCGGCGUCGUUCGUCGACGCGCUGCCG